Molecule: non-coding RNA, 282 nt
Organism: Vicia faba (fava bean)
Lineage: Eukaryota; Viridiplantae; Streptophyta; Magnoliopsida; Fabales; Fabaceae
Source: the annotation of a GenBank genome assembly
AUGGGUUUUUGUUUUUAUUAUCUAUUUUAUUCUCCUUCUCUCUUUGUUCUGGGCUCAACAAUUGUUACUAUGAGACUAAGCUCAGCCAAAACGAACAACAUUAACAAAUCCUCAUCCGCGAAACCUUUCUCGGUGAACCACAACAACAAAUUAAUAUUUCUCACGCGGAAGGAUAAAGAGGAAACAAAGUCGCCAAAUUGGAACUCCUUCGAUGAAUCUUCGAACUUUAAGAUUUAUGAUUCAGUUCGAACAUACACAACAACAACGGAAACAAAUUUAUAG